This 89-nucleotide transfer RNA is filed under the name bacterium. Its description in RNAcentral is "tRNA-OTHER". The record is from RNAcentral.
GGCGAGGCAGGCGGGCCUGCCGGCCCUCCCGAUGGUCGGGAGCAGGCGGGCAAAAUCUCUAUGCGGGAGUUCGAUUCUCCCCGUGGCCU